Molecule: ribosomal RNA, 487 nt
Filed under: uncultured Pseudomonadota bacterium
Lineage: Bacteria; Pseudomonadati; Pseudomonadota
Description: bacterial SSU rRNA
Rfam family: Bacterial small subunit ribosomal RNA
Source: RNAcentral
AAUGAACGCUGGCGGCAUGCCUAAUACAUGCAAGUCGAACGAGAAGCUAGUGCUUGCAUUAGUGGAGAGUGGCGCACGGGUGAGUAACGCGUGGAUAACGUACCUUUUGGUUGGGGAUAACUCGAGGAAACUUGAGCUAAUACCGAAUAAGUUCACUGAUUCUUCGGAUGAAGUGAAGAAAGGGGGGCAACUCCCGCCGAUUGAUCGGUCCGCGUACCAUCAGCUUGUUGGUGAGGUAACGGCUCACCAAGGCUACGACGGUUAGCUGGUCUGAGAGGAUGAUCAGCCACACUGGGACUGAGACACGGCCCAGACUCCUACGGGAGGCAGCAGUAGGGAAUAUUGGGCAAUGGACGAAAGUCUGACCCAGCAAUGCCGCGUGUGUGAUGAAGGCCUUCGGGUUGUAAAGCACUGUCAGUGGGAAAGAAAAAAUUGGUGUAACGGCCAAUCUUGACGGUACCCACAAAGGAAGCACCGGCUAACUCCG